CUCCGUGGAUGAGCGGUGGUUGUGAGAGUUUGCCAAGGAAGGCCUACUCGAUCAUGGAGUGGCUAUCGCUGCAAAAGGCGACGCUAGCAACAGAGACAGCCAUCCAUUUGUGCCACCAUCAAUAACAACGUUGUAACAAGCAUGGCUCUGCACUGGUGAGUAGAACUUUCUCCAAAUCCAAUCGAACUAUUGGAUUAAGACGUUCUAAAAUUUAUUGCCUGACUGCCUCAUCUCUGUCCAUAUCUCUGUUGGGAAUUUGCAGGUUGCUGAAGCAGUAGAGUGGCUUAUGUCAUGUAGGCAACUGGUGGCUACAAGGAUCCAUACGUAAACAUGGUAUGUGAAAUUUGUGCUACACAGGAAUGGAAAUGCCAAUUUACAAAAUAUAAUAUGCAUGUUUGGUUGAUGAUUACUUGGGGUAGCCGAAUAGAACUUGGAACCAGUAUAACUUAAGUGUGGCUAUGAAAAUUUUAGAUGGAGUUGGUGGUUUGGUACCUAUUGGAGUAACAAAUUCCAGUUACCCAGUAGAAAGCAAGGUGAAUCGGAAAUCAAUUAUUAAAUCUGCUUUAUAGGCUUUGCUAAAGAGAGAAAGUGAGAGCUACUAAUAUCCUGGUUUCAUUAAAGCUUAUUAGCGUCUUGAAUCCCUGUAAAGCAGCAUUGUGCAUUGCUAUUGGAUGACGCUGUGGGUUGUGGGCGUAGAGUGGAGGUUGCAUCACAUGCUCAACGUUGUGUCAAAGGACUUGCAUGGGCCACAGGGAUGUUGUGGUGUUCAUAGUGGGCAACAUUUGUUUUCAUGUAAGUUAUGGUCGAUGUAAGAUAGGUAGUGGAUGGGCAUGUCAUAAGUUUUUUCUCCCGUUGCAACGCACGGGCAUAUUUCCUAGUAUAAUAAAG
RNAcentral lists this long non-coding RNA (888 nucleotides) under Triticum aestivum (bread wheat). RNAcentral's name for it is "long non-coding RNA (TAES_LNC001920)". The record is from RNAcentral. Lineage: Eukaryota; Viridiplantae; Streptophyta; Magnoliopsida; Poales; Poaceae.